CCCCGCCUCUUCCGCUUUCCCCCUCUGCUUCCCACAGCGCUACGCGGUGUGGCCAGAGUCGUCUGUGGGAGUGGCUGUGUGCGAGCGCUCUGGGCUGAGUACCUGCUGGGGGACUUGGGGAGAGUGCUGUGCAGGUUCAGAGGAGUGGCAAGUGCUCUGCAAAUCCAUACAUACAUCCAUACAUCCUGCAGACGUUUUUUGAGCACCUGUUAGUGUCGAGGCACUGUCUUGAGAACGUAAAUACAAAAGGGUGUCCUCCUCUGCCCUAAGGGAGCUCUGCCUAAUAGGGAGACGGCGAGAGCGCGCCUGAAAAGCUACGGGCCGUCAGUACCCGGCGCAGGGGGUGUAGAGAAGGGGACGCAGGGAAGGCGAAGCCGGUACUUUCUCAGGAGACUUCAUAAAGGAGGCAGCCGUUUGGGCCAAGACAAGGAGAGGAUAGCAAUACAGUCAGCUCAAAAGCCACAUUACUGCUUCCCUGGCAGCUGGUUCUGUGGCUAAUGAAAGAUUGAUCUUCAGUUCACAAAAAGCUUUGAAAAGCAACUUCUCAUUACAACAGACUGCCACGAUUGCCACUUGCCUUCAUCACAAACCCCCAUGUGUUGGAAGACCAAGGAAUUUGUGUGCACGGGCCUGAUCUCAAGACCUCAUUCUCUUACCCGAUAACAGGCGAUUCCCACUCCUAGCCAUGUUAGGCAUGAAGGUGACUUCUUACAGGCUUGCAGAUAGAUGAGGCCCAGUCGCAGGAAUAUGAAGUGCAUCUCAGAAGCAUCCACUACAAAACUAAUGGUUCGCUCAUAGCAUGCCUUGGCCUCAGAAUGGUCUCCUCUCAGAAAAUAGAGAUGGCCUUUCAUACCCCAGACAUUGGGGUUCUGAGAAAGUAAACAACAAGUAGUAAAGGGAUGAGGUGAUAUUUAAAAGUACAUUACUGACCUAUGUUUAACUCUGGGAGCACGCAGAAAGAAGCAUUUCACAGCAAUGGGAGGUAUUUUCUAGGUCUGUCCUCGCAUUUCUUUCUUGUAUUCUUCAAAAUCAUUUUGUUUUGGAGUAAAUAUUGAGAAAAACAUUCGGGUAUAACCAAGCAGAAGACAAAAGUCUAAAAAACUUGACAAAGGUAAACACUAUUUCCGAAAGAGCUGUCUUUCUCCUUUUCUCUGCCCUCAGCAAAACUCAUAAUUUACUUAAGAAAAAUGAAUGGAGGAGUAUAUAUAGAUGAGUUUGCUGACAGUAAGUGGCCCCCACCCCUGGUCACCAAAAAUCUACCUAUGACAUGUCACCACUAUUUUUUGAGACCAAAUCUCACUAUGUUGUCCCAGCUGGCCUCCAACUCCUGGUCUUAACUGAUCUUCCUGCCACAGGCUCCCCCAAGUCACUGGGAUCACCAGCAUGUACAACAAUACCUAGCAGGCAUCAUUACCCUUAAUAAAGCCUGCUCACCCCUCUCCCACUCCAGAGCUUCUUGCAAAAGUCAUUACCAGGUAGUCCAGCCGGACUGCUUGUUGAAGGUAUUCCUCUGCCUUGGUAAAGUCCUUCUUCAGAAGGUGUGUCUGGGCCAGCACCAAGUAAUACUCACAGCUGGGACCUCCUUGAGGGCAUAACAGCUCAUGUGCAAGCACUCUGUGCACAUACUGCAAUGAAAUCAGACUAUAAGGAACAUGUAGAUGGCAUUAGUCCCAUAGCUUUCAUGGUUGAAGGAUUCUGUCUCUGAUAAUAACCAAUAAGGAACAUCUUUUAUAGAAUGAAAUGAUUGUCCUCAACUUCAAAGGGUUUGGGAUGAAUUACAAGCAUUCAGUAUCUUUCAUGUUCCAUUAUCAACUACUCACUUAGUCACCAAAUGGAUACAUUUUCAAGUGAAUAAUCUGCAAUAUCACACAAUUGUGGUCUUUAUAGCCGUGAUACUAGAUGAGUUUUAGUAUGUAUUAUGCAGCAAAGGCAAUUCCUCAACCAUCCCAUUUACACACAAAGUAACAUAUUCAGACAGCUGUCACCAAUAAGGAAACUACACUGAGGCAAAUUGUAGACCCUAGAUCUUGAAAACAAAUAUCUGUUUCUGACACACCUUGUAUUUGGAGCUGUUUGCUUUUCACAUUUCAAAGAGUUGCAAAUUUGACAAGUUAGAUGUUAAACAGAAGGGAAACCCUUUUAUUCUCAGUCUAGUCCCAUUCAGCCUAUAAUGUAGUAACCUCCGCUGAUACUUUUACCUUCUUAGGAAAAUACUGGGGAAGGGUAGUGGCUGCAGUUGUUCUCUCUACCUGCCUUCUGGCUCUUGGACCUGGGGGAAUAAUGACUUAUUUAACUGGGAAAAGAGGGAGCUAGUUUCUAUUGUGAAGGGUUAAUGAGCUAAAGGCUCCUGUUUCAUGCAACCCAAUCCCACCCAGUUCAUAAUUCUUGCCCUUUCUUGAGCUUGCCAGCCCCUAAGUGGGGCUUGUGCUCUGCAGGAUCAGGGUCAACUCCCUUCACUCCUGGAUCUUGCUGUCUUUCAUACUGCUUGCUCAUGGAUAUGCUUCUUGUUUGACAUGUGAUAGGGUAUACCUCACAGGAUGUGCUUCUUUUGUGGGAGGAGGCUGCAAUUUUCCAGCUGCUCCACCUGUGACUGCAUGGGUUGGAUUGUUUGGGGUCAACACUUGAAUCCUGAAAUUGUGUAGACAAUAUGGGUUCUCCUGACUCAGAUGGCAGUUGAGAAGAUUCUUCAAGAAAUUCAUCUAGAAUGGAUAAUGCAGCUCCUGCUCCUAUAGAUCACAUUUUGAUUUAAAAAGCACUUCCUAUCUUGGGUAUUAAAAGGUUAUUACAGGGCUGGGGAGAUAGCUCAGUCGGUAGAAUGCUUGCGUUGUAAGCACAAGUCCCUGGGUUCAAUCCCCAGCACCACACACACACACAAAAAAAAGGUUAUUAGAGAAGAUAAAAUAACAUGCAAAACAUAUUCCCUAAAUGCUGCAUGGACAGACUUUGAUAGACUUGUUUACAUUUCUGAGUAAUUUAAAGAGACAGUCUAAACUGAUAGCACAACUUUUGUCACUGUGAUCACACCCCACCCCUAUACAACCUUGCUACAAAGUCCAAAUCAUGAUGAUAUCAAAUGGAUUGUGAUUAUAAAAGUUACAUAAUCCAGAACCUCAAAAAUCCAGAUGAGAAGACAAAUACUUUUUGAUAACAUUAAAGCCGCCAGAGGACAGAAACUCUAUUCAUCUUAUUUCACUAUUCAAAAAAUAAUAAUAAUCACAGAGUAGCUAUAUUUGAACAUGUCUAUGCCAGAUAUUAUGCUAAGGUCAUUGGGAGCAUACCCUCAAAGGGGGCCAACACAGACAAUCCAGAUUAAUCUCCCUGUUUUAAAAUCUAACUUCAUUACACCUGAAAAGUCCCCUUUGCCAUAUAACAGUCACAGAUCCCAGGGAUUAUAAAAGGGACAUCUUUGAGGAGCCACUAAUCAGUUUACUAUAGUAAUUACUUAUGUGAUAGGAUUUAAAUCUGCCAUUUCAUUGUUUGUUUUCAGUUUGUCUUCUCUGCUUCUUAUUCUUUUUUUCCCCUUCUUCUGUAGGAUAUGUGAACAUUCUUUAGUAUUCCAUUUUGACUUACCUGUAGUAUAUUAUAGUAUAUUUGUUUGACUGGGUUGCUCUAAGACAGAAAUAUACAAGCUAUGGCCUAAUGGUCACAUCUGGCUUGCCUUUUAUGGGUGGGAAUUGGGGGGUACCAGGUGAAGGACAUGGAAAAUGAAAACCCCCAAGACAGUGUGACCGAGGAGGAGGGAGGGAGCAAAACAUUGAUCCUUACCCCCAGUAAAUUCCUUCCCAGUGACAAGACAAUCCCUGAGAAGGAGGUGAAUGCCAAUCCUAAAAUGGCAGUCCCUGGGAGGAAGACAAAUAUUGAUCCUUUCCCAGCAAAUUCUUUCCCAGUACAGCAGACCCUGGAGGAAGAAGCUAAACAUUAAUCCUUUCCCAGUGAUAGUACAAUGACCCCCAAAGGAAAAGGAUAAACACUGGACCCUCCAUCCUUGCUCAGUAAAAACAAGUUUCAAAUUCUCACAACCUGUUUCCUGAGUGCCCAAAGUGACACGUUCUGUCAAUAAUUAAGUCACCUCUCAGUGUAACUUAUAAAAACCCAGGCUCCUCUUGUAAACAGUGGCCAUUUUCUACCCAGAAAAUGAGCCCCUCCAGUGCCUGACUUGGCUGCUAAAUAAAAGGCAUAGCUGAUCCAUGAAGUCUGCUCCUAUUCCAGUUAUUUGUGCUUUCCUUAUGGUGCUAAAACUGUUUGGGUUAUUUUUGCUUAUACCGGGGAUUGAACACAGGGGCACUUAACCCUAAGCCACAUACCUAUCCCUUUUUAUUUUUAUUUAUGUGUAUAUUUAUUUUUUUAUUACUGGGGAUUGAACCCAGGCACUAAGCCACAGCCCCAAUCCGUUUUUAUUUUUUAUUUUGAUUUAAAAAGCACUUCCUAUCUUGGAAGGUUAUUAAAAGGUUAUUAUAGAAGAUAAAAUUUGUAAAACAUGUGAAACAUAUGAACUUCAUAGACUUGUUUACAUUUCUAAGAUGCUUAAGGCCUUGCUAAAUUAUUGUGGCUGGCUUUGAACUUGGAAUCCUCCUGCCUCAGCCUCCCCAGCCACUGGGAUUACAGGCAUGAGCCACCACACCCAGCCCUUUUUCUUUUUUCUUUUGAGACAGGGUAUUGCUAAGUUAACUAGGGCCUGACUAAGUUGGGGAGGCUGGCUUUGAAUUUGGGAUCCUCCCUCUGCCUCCCAAAUCACUGGAUUACAGGCAAUGCACCACGGCACCAGGCUGGCUUGCCACUUAUAUGUGUAAAUAAAGUUGUUUUGAAACACAGUCAAAUGUUUUUAAAUACAGUGCCUACAUAUUUUCUACAGUUGCUUUUACACUACAGAAGCAGAGUUGAUUACCUAUGACAGAGACUAGGUGACUACUUUCAAAUAGUUGUUUUUUAAAAUGUUUUAUAUGUUUGUGUAGGGGCAUGCUGGAGCUGGAUCCCAAGGCCUUGGACAUGCUAAGCAAGCUCUCUACCACUGAGUUAAACCCCCAUCCCUAAAUAUUUUAUAUCUUAUACUUGUUAUUUCCAAAAGGAUUUGCCAUGCUGCUGCCAUUAUGAUCAAUCUUAAGAAUGACAGAAUGGAAACUGAAUUGUUGGAGGUGGGUAAAUUGGGAACAUAAGAAGUUGAGGCCAAUCACUUGAAACACAUGUACACUAUUCUUCUAGUGAUAAAAUGGGAAAGAAAUUGAGUUACUUUGGAUCACCAACAAAAGAAUAUGUUGGAGAUGGGCUAUGGGUUCAGUUUAAAAAGUUGGAGACUUGCAGUUAGAGUAGAAAGGUCACAUGUUUAUAUUUCCUUAGUCUUUCAAAAUCACAUUAAAAUAAGAAUAAAUUUUUAUUUGCAGAUAAAAAAUAGAAGAGAAAAAGUGAAUACAAGAGGGUAUCAUCAGAUCUUUGAAACUGGAAAAGUAGGUAGGAAGGACUUUUGAGUCUAGUACUGAUUGAUGAAGCAAUUCAGACCACUCUUCCCACUGAGGGUAACCAGAAAAAAGUUAAAUAUAUAUAUUUUUAAAACCUGCUUAAAUGCAUCAGAGAAUUAACCAGAUAGAAUUUUCAAGCUAGGAAAGGAAAUAGGCCCAGGAUUUGGAAGGCCAUCAUUUGGAACUAUAUUUUCUACCAGGAUAUAUAAUGGGUUU
Sciurus carolinensis (gray squirrel) is the source of this 5669-nucleotide long non-coding RNA. RefSeq lists it as uncharacterized. NCBI's taxonomy places the organism in Eukaryota, Metazoa, Chordata, Mammalia, Rodentia, Sciuridae. The transcript has 5 exons. The record is from RefSeq and is a predicted model, not a curated record.